GUAUAAAAGUCUUUUGCUCAUUCUAAAUCUCCUUAAUAUUUUUCAAAAGAAAACUAGCUAUAAGACACCCAUACUCUCAUAUUCUCAAAAUCCAAGUACUUUGGCAUGUAAACAAGAUUCUAUGCCAAAGAAAAAAGAUAUCAAAUCUAGACUUCUAGUUAAACCUCUAUUGUGACCCUCUUGGAAAUUCAAAAAAAAAAAAAGAAUCUUUACUUUCAUAAUCCUUCUGAAAACAAACCAUAUAUAAAUAUGAAUAAGGAAAAAGAAAUUAUCCAAGA
This 278-nucleotide long non-coding RNA is filed under the name Elaeis guineensis (African oil palm). RNAcentral describes it as "long non-coding RNA (EGUI_LNC058787)". The record is from RNAcentral. Lineage: Eukaryota; Viridiplantae; Streptophyta; Magnoliopsida; Arecales; Arecaceae.